Molecule: long non-coding RNA, 1388 nt
Organism: Hippocampus comes (tiger tail seahorse)
Lineage: Eukaryota; Metazoa; Chordata; Actinopteri; Syngnathiformes; Syngnathidae
Exons: 3
Source: RefSeq, a predicted model, not a curated record
CAUGGUUGACUCCUCCUUGUACACGCCCCGAACGCCUUCACAAUUGCGUCAGCAGGCUAGAUGAAUCACGUGCUUUCUAGAAGCCGAGCCUCAGUGGCCGCGGUCCAUUUCGUAUUAGCAAGACUCCGUUAAUUAUUUUACAAAGGCAAUAAGUGUAAACAGACAAUGUUAACCUUUUAGACUAUUUUUAUAUGGUCACAGGUUUAUUCGGAACCCCAUUUACAGAGUCAUUGCUGAAGUCUGCACACUUGCACUGGUCUUACGAGGAAAGUAUAGAGGAGGAGGUAAUGUUGAUACAGACUAAAAGGUACCGUACCACAGGGUUUCGUUCCAGCGAGGAGCCCAACAACAGCAGCAAGCAGGGAGCACAAACCAGCACGUCAUAUUAUUGUGAUGUAUCUGCUCGGGGGGAGGAGAGACAGAAGGCUGGUGCAACAUGUCGACAGACAAGAUCCACCAGUUUAGACAAUGCCGGCCUUAAUAUCACAGGAAUGUUUUUGAAUGUCAUAGAUGUGGGUGUCAUUUGGCAUCGAGAACACGUCUGCUUUAUCAACGUGUGCUCUAACUGAGAUCUCAGACCCAGUAUUGAAUGGCCUUGAUCAGAUGGACAUUGAACCACCCUGGUGUAGCGUAUAUGCGCACAUGACCUCAGCUUCCUUGAAUUUUUUUUUUUUUCACCACCACCAUUGCACACAUGCAGACUCUCACGUUUUAUUAGAGUACUAUUAGAAGCAACCCGAUAAAUAAGAGCUAAUGGCCAGACAGAGGCAAUCAGACAUUUUGUUGCAUCCGGCCUUGAUAAUUCAACUUCGGAAUUUAUUCAAAUAACAAGUGGUAUGGGAAGAGGAAAUGUUAGUACGAUGAAUAAUUUUUGCUGAAAUGAACAUCGAACUUUUCAGUGUUUUAUAAAAGGGAUGCAGUUUAGAGAAUACAUCGAUCCAUUGUACACAAAAGCAGGGAAAUGCUCUGUCAUGAGUUACAGUAGAUGUGAUUUCUACGAAAUAAUCCUUCCCCGGGAGCUAAACAGUAAGCUUCAACUCCUCCAACAUGCACCCGUUUGGUAGCAAACAUUACGCAAGCGUACGGCUGACCGUCCCUCCCAUUCUAUCUGGCAGCACAUGUUGGUGUUUUCAAAGAGACACAAGAUCACACACUGGCGCGCAGGGGCUGGCACAGUGUUACUAUAGGUCAAAAGGAGCAGAAUGGGCAAUCAAAAAUAGCUUCAGGUGACAACAAUGUCAAACCCGAUGGCACUCAGGGGAUCAUAGUUUGGCUUUUAACUCCAAGGGCAUGCUUGAAAUUUGGCAUGGGGAAGGUGUGUCCCUGAUGGUAUUUUCCAGAUAUCCUGUCAGUAUCGUGAUGCUGUAUGCGAAGGACUGUUUGCAUUU